This 414-nucleotide ribosomal RNA is filed under the name uncultured delta proteobacterium. Its description in RNAcentral is "bacterial SSU rRNA". It matches the Rfam family "Bacterial small subunit ribosomal RNA", at positions 114 to 507 of the family's 1533-position model. The record is from RNAcentral. Lineage: Bacteria; Deltaproteobacteria.
CGCGUAAGUGAUCUACCCCUGUAUCUGGAAUAACUAUGGGAAACUGUAGCUAAUACCGGAUACGUUCAUGUGAUUGCGAUUAUGUGAAGAAAGAUGGCCUCUGACAUAAGCUAUCGUACAGGGAGGAGCUUGCGUACCAUUAGCUAGUUGGCAGGGUAAAGGCCUACCAAGGCGACGAUGGUUAGCGGGUCCGAGAGGAUGAUCCGCCACACUGGAACUGAAACACGGACCAGACUCCUACGGGAGGCAGCAGUGAGGAAUAUUGCGCAAUGGGGGCAACCCUGACGCAGCGACGCCGCGUGGAUGAUGAAGGCCUUCGGGUCGUAAAAUCCUGUCGGAUGGAAAGAAGUGUGAUGUGGUUAAUACCCAUGUCAUUUGACGGUACCAUCAGAGGAAGCACCGGCUAACUCCGUG